AGGACACUGAGACAUGCAAACUAUGGAGAGAACCCGGAUCGAACCGCACUGUAAAACAUCACAGCCCUGUUUAGUUCCACUCACUUCUUCUCUUUACCUCAAAGAGCUCUGACAAGAUGUUUUCAACUUGAAACUUAGUUAAACUUACAGUAAUGCUUUGUGUUGACUUAUUCUAUUAUUAAUAAAAGCUCACAAAAUGUCGUUAUUUCAAUAAAAAUUCAGCAUGGACCUUUUUGUUUGUGGGGCCCGACAGAAAAACCCGAGAAGCAUCCGGCCUCCAGUCGAAUGCGUCGUAAAGGAGAGGACCACAAAGGAGGCGCGUACCUUCUUGUUCUCCUCUCUGUAGGCCGCCGUGGCUUUACGUACAUGGAGAAGCAGCCUUUUUCAGCUCCACGUAUCUGGAACAAAGUCUCAGAAAGCUGCAGGUCUGCUGGGUCCCUCAGCUCCAUUAAAUCCAAAUCAAAGACUUUUCUUUUUGCUGCUGCCUUAAAUUUCUGAUCUGAGACCUCUGGUGGUUGGUGGUGAACCGCCGGCGUCUCCAGAGCGACGGUGCGUUUAGGGACCAAAUGCGGAUGCAGAGGGUUCAGUCUAUGAAUACUCCAGAGGAGAGCAGAUUUAUGGGAGUAUUUUUUACCUCCAGUGAACCCAAUCGUCCUUAUUACGCAACGGGAGAGUCAGCCGACGCACCAAGUGUUCAUGAAUCUGCUCACCUGACAGCUCGUCCACAGCCGGGAAGAGUCUGUGAUGGGGGGAAAGGUCACGGGGGAACAUACAAGGGGGUGGAAGCUGUGCAGAGGGCGGCUGUGGCAAGAUUGAGAUGGACUGAACCACAGCACAUGUAUGAGAUGCUAGUAACUUUAAAACAGACCCCCAAAAAUAAGGGGGGGGGGGGGGGGGUUCCUACAAAUUCUCAUUUUUAAGUUCACCAUGUUUCUUCUGUUUGCUGCUGUAGGAGCCAUUUACGUUUAUUGUUGGCAUGAUAUUUUAUUUAGUUUGGAUGUAUUUAUAAUAGUAUUUUGGACACUAGGUGGCAGUGAUUAGAUGCACGUGGUUGGAUAUGAGGGGCACAGGUGACAGGAAGUGGGGAACACAGGUUCAUCGGUUUAUACUAUUUAAUGCAAUAAAAUCACAAACUUCAA
Non-coding RNA from Gasterosteus aculeatus aculeatus (three-spined stickleback), 1139 nucleotides. Lineage: Eukaryota; Metazoa; Chordata; Actinopteri; Perciformes; Gasterosteidae. The record is from RefSeq and is a predicted model, not a curated record.